RNAcentral lists this ribosomal RNA (775 nucleotides) under uncultured Neocallimastigales. RNAcentral's name for it is "partial large subunit ribosomal RNA". It matches the Rfam family "Eukaryotic large subunit ribosomal RNA", at positions 23 to 634 of the family's 3401-position model. The record is from RNAcentral. Lineage: Eukaryota; Fungi; Neocallimastigomycota; Neocallimastigomycetes; Neocallimastigales.
AGAGAGAGACAUGCGCGCAUAUCAAUAAGCGGAGGAAAAGAAACUAACAAGGAUUCCCUUAGUAACGGCGAGUGAAGCGGGAAGAGCUCAAAUUUGAAAUCAUUCAAGGUUUUACCUUGACGAAUUGUAGUUUAAAGAAGUGUUUUCUGCUGAAGUUUUGGUAAAAGUUCUUUGGAAUAGGACAUCAUAGAGGGUGAGAAUCCCGUAUUUGACCAUUAUUUUCAGCUUUGUGAUACACUUUCAAAGAGUCGGAUUGUUUGGGAAUGCAGUCCAAAAUGGGUGGUAAAUUUCAUCUAAAGCUAAAUAUUGGCGAGAGACCGAUAGCGAACAAGUACCGUGAGGGAAAGAUGAAAAGAACUUUGAAAAGAGAGUUAAACAGUACGUGAAAUUGUCAAAAGGGAAGCGUUUGACACCAGUGUUGUUUUCUCGAAAAUCAAUUAAAAAUGGCUCGAUUUUGUAUUGUUGAGACCUUAAAAGCUCACUGUACAUUUUUCGUGUCUUUUUUAAUGCACUUUUCGUUUAACAAGUCAACAUCAGUUUCUUUUGUUGUAAAAGGGUCAUUGGAAGGUGGCUUUCUUUUCGGAGAAAGUGUUUAUAGCCUUUGGCCUCUGCAAUCGAAGAGACUGAGGUCUGCAGCGUAGACUCUUCGGGGUUAGAUACAUUUGUGCUAAGUUAUAGCUUUUUAUAGACAACUUGUUGACUAUAAUUAGUCUUGUAGCUUACUCGCUUAUGCUAUUUUACCUACGCUUAGGAUGUUGAGUCGUAGAGCACGCAG